GACGAACGCUGGCGGCGUGCUUAACACAUGCAAGUCGAACGGAAAGGCCCUGCUUUUGUGGGGUGCUCGAGUGGCGAACGGGUGAGUAACACGUGAGUAACCUGCCCUUGACUUUGGGAUACUUCAGGAAACUGGGGCUAAUACCGGAUAGGAGCUCCUGCUGCAUGGUGGGGGUUGGAAAGUUUCGGCGGUUGGGGAUGGACUCGCGGCUUAUCAGCUUGUUGGUGGGGUAGUGGCUUACCAAGGCUUUGACGGAUAGCCGGCCUGAGAGGGUGACCGGCCACAUUGGGACUGAGAUACGGCCCAGACUCCUACGGGAGGCAGCAGUGGGGAAUAUUGCACAAUGGGCGGAAGCCUGAUGCAGCAACGCCGCGUGCGGGAUGACGGCCUUCGGGUUGUAAACCGCUUUCGCCUGUGACGAAGCGUGAGUGACGGUAAUGGGUAAAGAAGCACCGGCUAACUACGUG
This 467-nucleotide ribosomal RNA is filed under the name uncultured bacterium. RNAcentral's name for it is "partial 16S ribosomal RNA". It matches the Rfam family "Bacterial small subunit ribosomal RNA", at positions 28 to 507 of the family's 1533-position model. The record is from RNAcentral.